Delphinapterus leucas (beluga whale) is the source of this 134-nucleotide non-coding RNA. NCBI's taxonomy places the organism in Eukaryota, Metazoa, Chordata, Mammalia, Artiodactyla, Monodontidae. The record is from RefSeq and is a predicted model, not a curated record.
CAGCACAGAUGGUGGCUCAUAAUGCCCUUCACUCUGAAAUCUUGGCAGCCUUGGUCCUUCACUGGCUGAUUGUCUGCCAUCCACCCUCAAAUACUGAGUGUUCUUUAGACUUACCUAUUCUGAAUAUCUCAUAU